RNAcentral lists this ribosomal RNA (396 nucleotides) under uncultured bacterium. RNAcentral describes it as "bacterial SSU rRNA". It matches the Rfam family "Bacterial small subunit ribosomal RNA", at positions 29 to 402 of the family's 1533-position model. The record is from RNAcentral.
AACGAACGCUGGCGGCGUGGAUAAGACAUGCAAGUCGAACGCUGAUUUCAAGGUAGCAAUAUUUUGAAGUUGGAGUGGCGCAAGGGUGUGUAACACGUGGGUAAUCUGCCGUGAAGCCUGGGAUAACUUGCUGAAAGGCGAGCUAAUACCGGAUGUGAAAAUCGGAAGGCAUCUUUUGAUUUUCAAAGUUGGGGACCGCAAGGCCUGACGCUUUAUGAUGAACCCGCGGCCUAUCAGCUAGUUGGUGAAGUAAUAGCUCACCAAGGCUAAGACGGGUAGCUGGUCUGAGAGGACGACCAGCCACACUGGAACUGAGACACGGUCCAGACACCUACGGGUGCAGCAGUCGAGUAAUUUUUCUCAAAUGGGCGAAAGCCUGAAGGAGCGACGCCGCGU